GCCGGAUUAGCUCAGCGGUAGAGCACCCGCCUUGUAAGCGGACGGUCAGGGGUUCGAUUCCCCUAUCCGGCUCCA
RNAcentral lists this transfer RNA (75 nucleotides) under Armatimonadota bacterium. RNAcentral's name for it is "Armatimonadetes bacterium (activated sludge metagenome) tRNA-Thr". It matches the Rfam family "tRNA". Rfam says of the family: Transfer RNA (tRNA) molecules are approximately 80 nucleotides in length. The record is from RNAcentral. Lineage: Bacteria; Bacillati; Armatimonadota.